AUUGAACGCUGGCGGCAUGCCUUACACAUGCAAGUCGAACGGCAGCACGGGAGCAAUCCUGGUGGCGAGUGGCGAACGGGUGAGUAAUAUAUCGGAACGUGCCCAGUCGUGGGGGAUAACGUAGCGAAAGCUACGCUAAUACCGCAUACGAUCUAUGGAUGAAAGCGGGGGAUCGCAAGACCUCGCGCGAUUGGAGCGGCCGAUAUCAGAUUAGGUAGUUGGUGAGGUAAAGGCUCGCCAAGCCGACGAUCUGUAGCUGGUCUGAGAGGACGACCAGCCACACUGGGACUGAGACACGGCCCAGACUCUACGGAGGCAGCAGUGGGGAAUUUUUGGACAAUGGGCGCAAGCCUGAUCCAGCAAUGCCGCGUGCAGGAUGAAGGCCUUCGGUGUAACUAGC
This 400-nucleotide ribosomal RNA is filed under the name uncultured bacterium. Its description in RNAcentral is "bacterial SSU rRNA". It matches the Rfam family "Bacterial small subunit ribosomal RNA", at positions 30 to 433 of the family's 1533-position model. The record is from RNAcentral.